Molecule: ribosomal RNA, 160 nt
Filed under: uncultured bacterium
Lineage: Bacteria
Description: partial 16S rRNA
Rfam family: Bacterial small subunit ribosomal RNA
Source: RNAcentral
GGAAUCUUCCACAAUGGACGCAAGUCUGAUGGAGCAACGCCGCGUGAGUGAAGAAGGGUUUCGGCUCGUAAAGCUCUGUUGUUAAAAAGAACGUGGGUAAGAGUAACUGUUUACCCAGUGACGGUAUUUAACCAGAAAGCCACGGCUAACUACGUGCCAG